Molecule: ribosomal RNA, 252 nt
Filed under: uncultured bacterium
Lineage: Bacteria
Description: partial 16S ribosomal RNA
Rfam family: Bacterial small subunit ribosomal RNA
Source: RNAcentral
UACGUAGGGCGCAAGCGUUAUCCGGAAUUAUUGGGCGUAAAGAGCUCGUAGGCGGUUUGUCGCGUCUGCCGUGAAAGUCCGGGGCUCAACUCCGGAUCUGCGGUGGGUACGGGCAGACUAGAGUGAUGUAGGGGAGACUGGAAUUCCUGGUGUAGCGGUGAAAUGCGCAGAUAUCAGGAGGAACACCGAGUGGCGAAGGCAGGUCUCUGGGCAUUAACUGACGCUGAGGAGCGGAAAAGCAUGGGGAGCGAA